GCGCCCAUAGCUCAAUGGAUAGAGCGGUAGCCUGCGGAGCUAUAGAUCCAAGUUCGAUUCCUGGUGGGCGCACCA
This 75-nucleotide transfer RNA is filed under the name Elusimicrobiota bacterium. RNAcentral describes it as "Elusimicrobia bacterium tRNA-Arg". It matches the Rfam family "tRNA". Rfam says of the family: Transfer RNA (tRNA) molecules are approximately 80 nucleotides in length. Their secondary structure includes four short double-helical elements and three loops (D, anti-codon, and T loops). RNAcentral also lists the same sequence under 1 other name. The record is from RNAcentral. Lineage: Bacteria; Pseudomonadati; Elusimicrobiota.